CGCUUUUUGUUUCGCGUCCCUUUUGGGAGAGCCGAUUCGUUUUAAUAGUGGUGCCGGCUUCUGUUCACCGGGGUAGGCGCGUCCCUCUUUCCGCGCUUGACGGCAAUUCCAGAGAAGCUGCAGCCUUUAUUGUCUUUUUGUUGAGUGGGCUGCACCUGAAAGGCGUUGGACCACACGCGCACCGAUACAAAGCCACGCAUACACGUCUAGGCUGCACCUACAGCGAGUCUUCACUCUCCAUUGUACCAAUGCUGCGAACUAGCCGCUCCUUUCGAUUCCGCAUGAAGUGCGGGUGCAUGUACGUCGACUACAAGAUCAUGUCUCGCAACCAUCGCCGCUCGAUUCGCGUAGAGGAUGCCCUAGUCGACCCCCUCUUGCCCACCACGGUAGUGCCACUGCAUUGGUUGGAGCAGCUUCGGUGCCCAUCAACGCGCCUUCUCACGGGCUACCACACGGAGGAGGCGGUGUAUGCAAAGCCGAACUACGGCGAUCGUGUGAGUCGCACUCCUGCGUUGUUGUCUUCGUCCGAUGCGGCUGCCAAGACGGCAGACAACGGCGCUCACGCCAACGCGAUCCGGGCGGGCCCAGUGGUGCUCUACAUCACUGGACAGAGCAUCCCCGUAGUUUUGAACCCUCUUUUUGUGCAGCCGGAUGAGUGGGGUCUCACUCAAUCGGACGGUGAAUGGGACCUUCGAAUAGGAAUGGAUGCCAUUGAGCAGUGCUCCCUGUACGCCGAGCUCCGUCCGGGUGGGCUGCUGUACUCGAAGCUGCCGCACGCAAGCCUCACAGAGGCGAUGGAACCUGUUCAGGACACUCUCAAGCGCUACGGCAUGAGGUGCGGGUUGGCCGAGUCGCCGCUGGUGCCACGACCGUGGACGCGCAUGCGCUACAUGUUUAUUGACGAGCUGCAGCGUGGACAAAAAAUGACCGAGUUCGUAGGGUACAACCCGCGCAGCGGAACUCAGUGGCGCUUCUCGCAGCACACCAAGUACUUCCGCACAGGCAUCUGGCGCGAGACCAUCCGACGAAACGAGAUGAACGAUGGGCUGCACGCGCACAGCAGCUGGCAAAAGUCGCCGCAGCAGGCGGUUCCGGAGAUCAGCUUUCUCGCACCCUACCCGUAACCGCGGCGAUCUUCGAUGGGAAGGAGUGUUGCGGAUGCGGCCACGGAGCAUGAAACGAUCCGCAGGCAGGGGCAAGUCAAGGAGGCUGAAAAGAGGUGUCGCGCGGGCGCUAUCGAGAAGCGAACGCACCUCUUUUUGGUUGGGCUUUGUUUCUCUGCAUCUCGCCUCUGUGGCGCUGCGCGUCUCGAAGCCCGCCCCCCCCUCGCCGGUGUUUUUGUUCGCUCUUUCGCGUUACCAGUAAUCGGGCUCGUGUAAGCUGCUCGCUGUAGCAACGGCUUACCACCUGCAUGUAUGCGCGUGCGUGCAAUGCUCUCGCACUAACGCACGCGCACGGAAGGCCUCUGCGAAGAAAAGCUGGAAAGACAGAAAGCAAAAAAAAAAGACAGCGAAGUCAGUGCGCGUUAGAAAGAGUGCGUAUGUGUAAAGGUAAGGACUUGUGCUUCACAGCAGGCAGCUAUUCAUGUCAGCGCCUGACGUGUUCAUUACACCCCCCACCGGCACACUUCUCUCUCUUCGUGCUUUUGUUUAUCCGCCUCUGUCUUGUCUUGUUGCUGGUUGUGUGUAUGUGCGUGCAUGUGUAUGGGUGUGCAUCAGUACGUAACGGGCCACAUGCUCUUUAUGCUCUCCCCCUUUCAUUCCAGCGAAG
RNAcentral lists this unclassified non-coding RNA (1770 nucleotides) under Leishmania donovani. RNAcentral describes it as "gene:LdHU3.35.2910(CDS-product:hypothetical_prote in_conserved)". The record is from RNAcentral. Lineage: Eukaryota; Euglenozoa; Kinetoplastea; Trypanosomatida; Trypanosomatidae.